Molecule: ribosomal RNA, 301 nt
Filed under: uncultured bacterium
Lineage: Bacteria
Description: partial 16S ribosomal RNA
Rfam family: Bacterial small subunit ribosomal RNA
Source: RNAcentral
CAGCAGCCACGGGAAUACGAAGGGGGCUAGCGUUGCUCGGAAUUACUGGGCGUAAAGGGAGCGUAGGCGGACAUUUAAGUCAGGGGUGAAAUCCCAGAGCUCAACUCUGGAACUGCCUUUGAUACUGGGUGUCUUGAGUGUGAUAGAGGUAUGUGGAACUCCGAGUGUAGAGGUGAAAUUCGUAGAUAUUCGGAAGAACACCAGUGGCGAAGGCGACAUACUGGAUCAUUACUGACGCUGAGGCUCGAAAGCGUGGGGAGCAAACAGGAUUAGAUACCCCCGUAGUCCCUGUCUCUUAUAC